GGCUGUGAGGGCGAUCUGGCUGUGACAUCUGUCAUCCCAUUGAUCACCAGGGUUGAUUCGGCUGAUCUGGCUGGCUAGGCGGGUGUCCCCUUCCUCCCUCACCGCUCCAUGUGCAUCCCUCCCGAAGCUGGGCACUCGGUCGAAGAGGACGACCAUCCCCGAUAGAGGAGGACCGGUCUUCAGUCAAGGGUAUACAAGUAGCUACGCUCCCCUGCUAGAACCUCCAAACAAGCUCUGAAGAAAAAAAAUAUGUGUUAAGCUGAUUUUGCAAAAUAGUUACCUAUUCCUUCACACACACACAAAAGAAAGAGUUGGCUGUUGU
RNAcentral lists this small nuclear RNA (322 nucleotides) under Aotus nancymaae (Ma's night monkey). Its description in RNAcentral is "7SK RNA (ENSANAG00000010812.1)". It matches the Rfam family "7SK RNA". From Rfam's summary of the family: 7SK was discovered as an abundant small nuclear RNA in the mid-70s but a possible function has only recently been suggested. Two independent studies have found that 7SK RNA binds the CDK9/cyclin T complex (known as elongation factor P-TEFb). P-TEFb activates transcription by phosphorylating the C-terminal domain of RNA polymerase II. Lineage: Eukaryota; Metazoa; Chordata; Mammalia; Primates; Aotidae. The record is from RNAcentral.